Long non-coding RNA from Triticum aestivum (bread wheat), 1979 nucleotides. RefSeq lists it as uncharacterized. The record is from RefSeq and is a predicted model, not a curated record. The transcript is spliced from 7 exons. NCBI's taxonomy places the organism in Eukaryota, Viridiplantae, Streptophyta, Magnoliopsida, Poales, Poaceae.
CGAUGUCGUUGACAGGUUACGAGGGGAGUUAGCCGAGAACCUUGUGCAUCCAGAUCCGGUUCCUCUGGUCUUAUUGCCCAACAGCGGAGCCGGCCUUUCCGUCCCUGCAGACUCGAAUGCUGUGUCUGGAUGCGCUCAACAGCUUGGCGGCGAUGGGACCGGUAGGGCAGCAGUUGGGGUCGGACCGUCAUCCGGAUGCAUCUGCAACAAGGUCGGCGCAGGCGACUGACCGAGUCAAUCGAGAGGCACCUGGGUGGACAAAAAGAUUACGGCUGGGCAGUGCACCACCUGACAGGACACCAUGUCCCUCUCGGUUGAGCCCUUUGGAGCAAUCGAUUCGCAAAUACGCAGAGGAACCUACAAAAAGUGUAAUACACCUCACAGGACACCUUGACCUGAGCUUCGAUUAACUGGGUGAGGUGACUUAUAGAAUCUCUAUUCUUGGGAGAUCCGGUUUGGUAUCACAUAUGGUAAAAAGAGAUUAAAUGUCGAGAGGACAAAUGCUUGCAGGAGAUCGUAUGUGGUUGUUUGGGCAAACCGGAGAUUUAUGAGCACCCGUACAUGACACAGAUAUACGAAAUCAGAACAAAGUGGGUGAAACCAUAUUUCAAAGGGGUUUUCUGCGUGAAGAUGACGAACAUACAACGCAGUGAGAGCGCGAAUCAAAUGUUGGAGACGUACAUGCCUCCUCAAGCCCAAUGCAUAUUUUUGUUAGGCAGUACAUGAGGUUACAGUUUGACUGCGAACGUGAAGAAAGCUACGAGGACAAGAGGAUGAUGAUUUGCUGGAGCUGUCAGGAGUACAAAUUUGUGGUUGCCUAAACUAGCUAGUGUUAACGUCUCAGGUUUAGAACAUGGUCUGCCGACUGGUAUGCUGAAAUGUGUUUUGCUACUGACACUUGGCCAACAUGCGGAAUACAACAAUGUGUUUGCCAGUUUUUGAGUGAACUGUGCGCACGGCUAGAUUCAAACUUUGAACUGCUAGAAAGGUUAAAUGCAAGUACUAUAAGGCAGGUGGCAGGAUGCCAUCCCUCAAAGCAGUAUAAGAGUGUAACAUCCGGCAGAUGUCGUGUUGCCUUUCACCAUAGUUGCACAUUCAAAAACAUUUGAAGCUAGCGUUGCUUGCGAUGGCGCCAACGCCUGCUGAAGCCGCCAGGUGUGCCACGGCGAUGAGAUCCGAAUUGGUGGCUCUAGUGGCGGAUUGGAGAUUCAGUCAUCUUCCUCUUCGUCAAAUCUGCCUGCGCAAGACGGUGGCGGAGUGGACAAGGGAGAGGUAUCCAAGGAGAUUGUCGUGAGAUUAUCAUGUUCAAGAAGAUGGCACAAUAUUACAGAGAAGAAGGAUACGGCGACCACGAUACUUUAGCUAUGCAGAAUGCAACGGCGGUGACACUGAUGUGGACCACGGAUCUCAUGUAGCGGGUGCGGUGGAAGAAACUGAAUCAGCUGAAGAGGAGGAAGUGAGCAGCAGGGGUCCUAAGCUAUGCCGUACGCAGGCGUAGUAUGAGAUGGAAGGAUGAAUUCGUAACAACGUAUGUUUUUUUGAAGUUCAGAUAUAGUAUUACUUAACUAAGCAACUACAGGGAUCUCGUCUGCUACAAUGCCCAGAAUACAAUCUGGAGGAUAGUUUAGCCACUCCCUACAAACUUUAUUACAAACUCCCUCUCUUGCUAAAUAAUGAGCUGCACUAUUAGCAGACCUCCUAACCCAAGUUACAUUAAACUCUUGCCUUGUCCUGAGCAUUGCUUUUAUCUCUUCAAUGACCUGUUCAGCAACUGACAUGUUUUUACCCGGAUCAUUGAGCAUCCGUACGACAGCCAUACAGUCCAUCUCGACGUGCAGUUUCUGAAGGUUUAAGUCUAUGGCUAAUUUAACUGCCCUUUUGCGGGUUAGCAGCUCCGCGUGCUCAGCCGAAGCGACGGCUGCAAAGAACGCACAUGCAACCCCUCUGUAGGCCCUCUCGUGAUCUCUGUAGAUCACUCC